UACGAAGGGGCUAGCGUUGUUCGGAAUUACUGGGCGUAAAGCGUGCGCAGGCGGCUUCUCAAGUCAGGGGUGAAAGCCCAGAGCUCAACUCUGGAAUUGCCUUUGAGACUGAGUGGCUUGAGUACGAGAGAGGUGAGUGGAAUUCCCAGUGUAGAGGUGAAAUUCGUAGAUAUUGGGAAGAACACCGGUGGCGAAGGCGGCUCACUGGCUCGUAACUGACGCUCAUGCACGCAGCGUGGGGAUCAAACAGG
RNAcentral lists this ribosomal RNA (251 nucleotides) under uncultured bacterium. RNAcentral describes it as "partial 16S ribosomal RNA". It matches the Rfam family "Bacterial small subunit ribosomal RNA", at positions 524 to 776 of the family's 1533-position model. The record is from RNAcentral.